GGGGGGGGGGGGGAAUCAGAACGACCAUUUUUGGGGUGUUUUGGGCUUUUCUUGGGGGUCUAAACCAAGUCCUUGUGCACAAUGAAUCCUCGUGCAAGGCCCUAGUGCAAGACACGGCACGUCCUCGUGCAAGGCACUGAUGGAAGGCACUUGUCCUCGUGCAAGACCCUCGUGCAAAAGACCUUGUGUAGGGUGUCAAUGUGAGGCUCUGGCCCUUGUGCAAGAUGCUUGUGCAACGCACAGCUAUUGGCAAGGUCCUUGUGCAAGGUCCUUGUGCACAAGGCUCUUGCUCUUAUGAUCCUCGUGCGAGAUCCUCGUGCAGGGGCCGCUCUUGCUGAUGGUGUUCACAUGGGUUUGUUGCACAAGUUCAGUGUGUAAUGCACUUGUGCAAGGCUCAUUGCUAUGCGUAGUCUCCAUUGGAGCCUCUUGUGCAAGGUCCUCGUGCAAGCCUCAUCUUCCUGCAUGGUCCACAGCCAAAGCUCUUGUGCAAGACUUAUUGCCAUGCAAGGUCUGGUCUGCAUUGGAAGCUCUUGUGCAAGGUCCUUGUGCAAGGCUAUUUCCAUGCAUGGUCUCCAUUGGAAGCUCUUGUGCAAGGUCCUCGUGCAAGGCUCAUUGCCAUGCAUGGUCUCCAUUGGAAGCUCUUGUGCAAGGUCCUCGUGCAAGGUCCUCGUGCAAGCCUCAUCUUCCUGCAUGGUCCACAGCCAAAGCUCUUGUGCAAGGCCCUUGUGCAAGGCUCAUUGCCAUGCAUGGUCUGCACUGGAGGCUCUUGUGCAAGGCUAUUGGCAUGCAUGGUCUGGUCUGCAUUGGAGGCUCUUGUGCAAGGUCCUCGUGCAAGGCUAUUUCCAUGCAUGGUCUCCAUUGGAAGCUCUUGUGCAAGGUCCUCGUGCAAGGUCCACGUGCAAGGCUCAUUGCCAUGCAUGGUCUCCAUUGGAGGCUCUUGUGCAAGGUCCUCGUGCAAGGUCCACGUGCAAGGCUCAUUGCCAUGCAUGGUCUCCAUUGGAGGCUCUUGUGCAAGGCCCUUGUGCAAGGUCCUCGUGCAAACCACUCAACCCACACUCCAAGAAUCCCAACCUCCCAAUUCCAAGAGUCUCUCACACCGAAUCCUCGUGCAAAUCCUCGUGCAAAUCCCCCCCCCUUAUAUUUGCACGAGGGUGGGGGGGGGUCUCUCAUAUGAGCCGCUCCUCUGGGGGCAGCUUUAAUGGGGGGGGGGCCGGGGGGGGCCCUCGUGCACCGUCCUGUUCCUGUCGGCUGGGUCGAUACGUUCCUUCCGUGCGACGUUUUUCACGGAGCCGAAAAAUCCCAUAAAGAAAAAACCCGAAAAGGGCAAAAAAGGCCAAAACCCCAAAAACGGACAGAGCGGCCACUGCGCCCACCUAUAGGGGGAUAUAGGGGGGAUAUAUAGGGAUAUAGGGGAUAUAUGGGGGGGUAAGUAUGGGGGGGGUGGGUGCAUAUAGGGGAGGGUAUGGGGGGGUAAGGGUAUAGGGGAGGGGGGGAUAUAGAAGGAUGUUAUGGGGGGGUAUAUAGGGUUAUGGGGUGGUAAUUUGGGGGAUAGUAGGGUGAUGUGUGGGGGGGAAUGUAGGGUUAUGGGUGGUAUUAGUAGGGGAGGGGGGGGAUAUGGGGGAUGUAUGGGGGGGAUAUGGGGGGGUGUAUAUAGGAGGAGAGAGGAGAGAGAGAGAGGUAUAUAGAGGAGGGGGGGUAUAUGGGUUAUGCGUUGGUAAUAUGGGGGUAUAAGG
Molecule: long non-coding RNA, 1733 nt
Filed under: Coturnix japonica (Japanese quail)
Lineage: Eukaryota; Metazoa; Chordata; Aves; Galliformes; Phasianidae
Description: lncRNA (ENSCJPG00005000975.1)
Source: RNAcentral